Molecule: small RNA, 821 nt
Filed under: Arabidopsis thaliana (thale cress)
Lineage: Eukaryota; Viridiplantae; Streptophyta; Magnoliopsida; Brassicales; Brassicaceae
Description: ATSL169870
Source: RNAcentral
UGAAUUUGGAUUAAAAUUGGUUGAGGUAUUCGCAGUUUCGUGAGACACGUUUUCUCAAACGCGAAUUAGGACCAGCGAAGAUUGAAACUGAGAUCGUGGUCUCGUCUGUUUUCCGAUCGGCACGAGAUUUUGUGGGCAGCUUUGUGACGUCUGCAGCUAGGUUUUCACCGGAGAGAUUGAAUAGUUAACGGUUAGCUUGUAUUUUAGGGUUUCGUCUUUGAGACGGUUUGUUUCUGGUUUUUCCUGUCCAGUUUGUUUCAAGGUUGCUUUUGGUUGUGGACUUGUUGCAGGACGUUUCUGGACUGUUUCAGACGCAAGGAAAGUCUCUCCUGGGUUUAAUUGCUAUUAGAAUCAAUUUGUUAAGGUGAGUGCGUGACCAUGAGCUUAUCUGAGCGAUUGGGUUGUGUGAUGAUAUGUAGGUGUGGUGAAUGUGUUUUGGGUGAAUUGUUCAAUGACUGGUUUGUUUGUAUUGUAUUCGUGAUUAUACCUUUUUAUUUGCUUGUGUGUAUAGCUCGUAGAUGGGAGGAUCGCCUCACUAAGUAUUUAUGAUAAUACUUACGCAUCUCAUUGUGUUGUUGAUGCAGGUAAAGAUAAAGUGUGAUUGUGGAAUCAUGGCAAGGAAGAGAGGAUGAUCUAGGAACUCGUUUGUUUUAUGUAUGGUGUUUUUGGUUAUUGGAACCCGGUUAGGAUUGUCAGUUAUUCUUGGUUUUGUUGAUCGAAUUAUUUAUUUAUUCAUAAAAUAGUAUUUCUGACUUGCGGUUUAAUUAUUAUGUUAUUGGUUGGUUUAAUUAGAUAUUUAUGGAAAUAUUUAAUUAUAUUUU